GAGCCAGAUCCAAAAUGUUUUGAAAAGAAGAAGGAAUUCUCUUCAUUGGUUUCAGCAGACUUUGGAUCAGGCUUGUAACAGACAAAACUCUGAAUCUGAACAAACCAGCAAAGCAUAGAUCCCAACUUCAGAUUGUCAUCUGAGUCCUGUGGUUUUCCUAGGCACAGGUCAUUUUGCCCUGGCAAUACUGGGAAAUGCAAGUGUUCAAAUUUGUGGAGCCUUAGUUACCUGCAUGGUGACAUCUCAUGAGAAGCCCCGAGGCCUGGCUGAACGCUGAGGAUAGUGCAGGGAAGAAAAUGUGGGCGUGUGGAGUGCACAUCUGGCGAGUCCUGGAGGAGUCAGGCUGUCUGUCACUCUACCAUCUGUGAUAGAACCAAAGACAAGAAUUUUGAACUUUCUCAUCAAGACAUGACAUGUAGUUCACCUCUGUCACUCUGUAACCAUGACAGCUGAGAGAGGGUGUCAUCUUAAUCAAAAA
This 478-nucleotide long non-coding RNA is filed under the name Dromaius novaehollandiae (emu). RNAcentral describes it as "lncRNA (ENSDNVG00000007688.1)". Lineage: Eukaryota; Metazoa; Chordata; Aves; Casuariiformes; Dromaiidae. The record is from RNAcentral.